CCCUUAACUAUUAAAAGCUUCGUUUUGGUUCGUUAACUUACUUUUUGGUUUCGUUUUGGUCCCUUAACUCAUCCUCCGUCAACCACUUUGGUCCAUUAUGUUAGGAUGAAUGUAUUAGAGUUAAGGGACCAAAAUGAAACCCAAAAAUAAGUUAAGGGACCAAAACGAAACCAAAAAAUACGUUAAGGGACCAAAACGAAACUUUAAAUAGAUAAGGGA
This 219-nucleotide microRNA precursor is filed under the name Medicago truncatula (barrel medic). Its description in RNAcentral is "MIR2655 microRNA precursor family". It matches the Rfam family "MIR2655 microRNA precursor family". The record is from Rfam by way of RNAcentral. Lineage: Eukaryota; Viridiplantae; Streptophyta; Magnoliopsida; Fabales; Fabaceae.